This is a non-coding RNA of Megalopta genalis, 388 nucleotides long. Lineage: Eukaryota; Metazoa; Arthropoda; Insecta; Hymenoptera; Halictidae. The record is from RefSeq and is a predicted model, not a curated record.
UUCAUAAUUUAUACAUAUACAUUUGAAUUUAAAAUGCAACACAAACAACGAAUGAUUUCUUUAUUUUCUAACACGUAUCCCUUUAUGUAGUUAGGCAAUAUAAGUAAAAGCUGAGUUUGCAUUAUAUUAUUAUCGCAAUAUAUUGUUGUCAAGUACAUUAAAAAGAAAAAAGUGAAGAACAACCGUUGUGAGAAUUAAUUGGAUAUGCGUGUGUCAGUAUGUGUAUAGAAUGAUAUGUUGCACGGUGCACCACAUUGGCGGAUGACUGAAAUUUUACUGCAUAUUAUUAGGCAAGGUUAUGUCAUUAUUUUUAAUUUUCGUUAAUUUAAGUACACUACAAAGGAGGAGAAGAAAGAUCUUAUAAUGCUCUUGUUUUCUACGACGUGUA